Molecule: ribosomal RNA, 575 nt
Filed under: Escherichia coli
Lineage: Bacteria; Pseudomonadati; Pseudomonadota; Gammaproteobacteria; Enterobacterales; Enterobacteriaceae
Description: partial 23S ribosomal RNA
Rfam family: Bacterial large subunit ribosomal RNA
Source: RNAcentral
UAGUGCAAUGGCAUAAGCCAGCUUGACUGCGAGCGUGACGGCGCGAGCAGGUGCGAAAGCAGGUCAUAGUGAUCCGGUGGUUCUGAAUGGAAGGGCCAUCGCUCAACGGAUAAAAGGUACUCCGGGGAUAACAGGCUGAUACCGCCCAAGAGUUCAUAUCGACGGCGGUGUUUGGCACCUCGAUGUCGGCUCAUCACAUCCUGGGGCUGAAGUAGGUCCCAAGGGUAUGGCUGUUCGCCAUUUAAAGUGGUACGCGAGCUGGGUUUAGAACGUCGUGAGACAGUUCGGUCCCUAUCUGCCGUGGGCGCUGGAGAACUGAGGGGGGCUGCUCCUAGUACGAGAGGACCGGAGUGGACGCAUCACUGGUGUUCGGGUUGUCAUGCCAAUGGCACUGCCCGGUAGCUAAAUGCGGAAGAGAUAAGUGCUGAAAGCAUCUAAGCACGAAACUUGCCCCGAGAUGAGUUCUCCCUGACUCCUUGAGAGUCCUGAAGGAACGUUGAAGACGACGACGUUGAUAGGCCGGGUGUGUAAGCGCAGCGAUGCGUUGAGCUAACCGGUACUAAUGAACCGUGAGG